GACGCACGCUGGCGGCGUGCCUAAUACAUGCAAGUAGAACGCUGAAGGAGGAGCUUGCUUCUCUGGAUGAGUUGCGAACGGGUGAGUAACGCGUAGGUAACCUGCCUGGUAGCGGGGGAUAACUAUUGGAAACGAUAGCUAAUACCGCAUAAUAGUAGAUGUUGCAUGACAUUUGCUUAAAAGGUGCAAUUGCAUCACUACCAGAUGGACCUGCGUUGUAUUAGCUAGUUGGUGAGGUAACGGCUCACCAAGGCAACGAUACAUAGCCGACCUGAGAGGGUGAUCGGCCACACUGGGACUGAGACACGGCCCAGACUCCUACGGGAGGCAGCAGUAGGGAAUCUUCGGCAAUAGACGGAAGUCUGACCGAGCAACGCCGCGUGAGUGAAGAAGGUUUUCGGAUCGUAAAGCUCUGUUGUAAGAGAAGAACGAGUGUGAGAGUGGAAAGUUCACACUGUGACGGUAUCUUACCAGAAAGGGACGGCUAACUACGUG
This 495-nucleotide ribosomal RNA is filed under the name uncultured bacterium. RNAcentral's name for it is "partial 16S ribosomal RNA". It matches the Rfam family "Bacterial small subunit ribosomal RNA", at positions 28 to 507 of the family's 1533-position model. The record is from RNAcentral.